GAUGAACGCUGGCGGCGUGCCUAAUACAUGCAAGUCGAGCGAACGGACGAGAAACUUUCUUCUCUGAUGUUAUCGGCGCACGCGUGAGUAACACGUGGAUAACCUCCCUAUUAGACUGGGAUAACUUAGGGAAACCGGAGCUCAUACCGGAUGAUCUUUUGAACCGCAUGGUUCAAAAGUGAUAGACGGUCUUGCUUUCACUUAUAGAUGGAUCCGCGCUGCAUUAGCUAGUUGGUAAGGUAACGGCUUACCAAGGCAACGAUGCAUAGCCGACCUGAGAGAUGGAUCGGCCAAACUGGAACGGGGAAACGGUCCGGACUCCUACGGGAGGCAGCAGUAGGGAAUCUUCCGCAAGGGGCGAAAGCCUGACGGGGAAACGCCGCGUGAGUGAUGAAGGUCUUCGGAUGGUAAAACUCUGUUAUUAGGGAAGAACAUAUGUGUAAGAAAAUGUGCACAUCUUGACGGUACCGAAUCAGAAAGCCACGGCUAACUACGUG
RNAcentral lists this ribosomal RNA (497 nucleotides) under uncultured bacterium. Its description in RNAcentral is "partial 16S ribosomal RNA". It matches the Rfam family "Bacterial small subunit ribosomal RNA", at positions 28 to 507 of the family's 1533-position model. The record is from RNAcentral.